Tyto alba (common barn owl) is the source of this 47-nucleotide non-coding RNA. The record is from Rfam. Lineage: Eukaryota; Metazoa; Chordata; Aves; Strigiformes; Tytonidae.
CACAAGGCUUUUUUAAUAGCCACAGAUUUUAUUUUUGCAAGGGUUGU